Molecule: ribosomal RNA, 252 nt
Filed under: uncultured bacterium
Lineage: Bacteria
Description: partial 16S ribosomal RNA
Rfam family: Bacterial small subunit ribosomal RNA
Source: RNAcentral
UACCGAGGUCCCAAGCGUUGUUCGGAUUUACUGGGCGUAAAGGGUGCGUAGGUGGCGGGGUAAGUCUGGUGUGAAAGCUCCGAGCUCAACUCGGAAAAGCAUUGGAAACUAUCCCGCUAGAGGGUCGGAGGGGAGACUGGAAUUCUCGGUGUAGCAGUGAAAUGCGUAGAUAUCGAGAGGAACACCAGUGGCGAAGGCGAGUCUCUGGACGACUCCUGACACUGAGGCACGAAAGCUAGGGGAGCAAACAGG